This 862-nucleotide long non-coding RNA is filed under the name Phoenix dactylifera (date palm). Its description in RNAcentral is "long non-coding RNA (PDAC_LNC017329)". Lineage: Eukaryota; Viridiplantae; Streptophyta; Magnoliopsida; Arecales; Arecaceae. The record is from RNAcentral.
UUUGAUCAAAAGCAGAAUGAAAAUUAGAAUGAGUUUCUAAUGUUUCAUUAUUUGAAUUAUCAUUAAAAGAUUGAAAAAAAUAUGAAUAUGAAAUUGAGUUUGACAUAUAUUCAUACUCAUAUACAUAUUUGGGAUGCAGUUUGAUUAAAGGAUUGAAUUGCAUGGUAACUUGCCACUGAAGGGUAUUUUUGGUAUUUCCACCAAAUUCCAUAUUUUUCGGGUAGACAUGACACGUUGCUAGACGUCAAUCUUGUUUUAUAGGUUUGAUCAAAUUAAAGAGUUUAAUUCGAUCACCAAUUAGAAAGGAUUCUAAUUGUUAAGUUCGGGUUCGUGCAGUUUGGACUUAAAUCGAUUAGAAGAGUUCAAAUCAAGUUGGGUCAACUCGCACUCACACCUAUUGCUGGCUAAGUAUGGAACCCAAUGGGUCACACACAAGAAAACUUAUCAAGGGUCUAAUUAGAUUAGAUCAUGUUUGCAAGAUAAACAUCCUAGCAGGUGUUGCAGACCUUAGCUCCUGAUUCGAAUUGGAUUCGAAUCUGAUUCGAAUUGGAUUCGAAUCUGAUUCUUAAUUGAUCUAAUUUGAUUAGGUCAUAUUCUAAUAUGGGUUAGCCAAGAGUUGGCACCUAAUUGGCUUGGUUUGAGUCUAAUUGGAUUAGAUUUAAUAAAUCAUUCAAUCUAGACCAUUAGAUCUUGAUCUACCGUUGGAUGAAGACAUAAUGGAGAGUUGGUUUAACCCAAUUGAAUUGGGUUAGAGGAUGGCUACUGUUACGGGGGAACUUAGCCGCCACGCCCCACGUGACCGGCACGCGCACCCAGGAAGACUACGGCAGUCCCUUGAUCCAGUAAUCCGACCCCGAGUCGG